This 450-nucleotide ribosomal RNA is filed under the name uncultured bacterium. RNAcentral's name for it is "partial 16S ribosomal RNA". It matches the Rfam family "Bacterial small subunit ribosomal RNA", at positions 354 to 796 of the family's 1533-position model. The record is from RNAcentral.
GUGGGGAAUAUUGGACAAUGGGCGAAAGCCUGAUCCAGCCAUGCCGCGUGUGUGAAGAAGGUCUUCGGAUUGUAAAGCACUUUAAGUUGGGAGGAAGGGCAGUAAGUUAAUACCUUGCUGUUUUGACGUUACCGACAGAAUAAGCACCGGCUAACUUCGUGCCAGCAGCCGCGGUAAUACGAAGGGUGCAAGCGUUAAUCGGAAUUACUGGGCGUAAAGCGCGCGUAGGUGGUUUUGUAAGUUGGAGGUGAAAUCCCCGGGCUCAACCUGGGAACUGCCUCCAAAACUGCAUGACUAGAGUACGGUAGAGGGUAGUGGAAGUGCCUGUGUAGCGGUGAAAUGCGUAGAUAUAGGAAGGAACACCAGUGGCGAAGGCGACUACCUGGACUGAUACUGACACUGAGGUGCGAAAGCGUGGGGAGCAAACAGGAUUAGAAACCCUGGUAGUCC